This 254-nucleotide ribosomal RNA is filed under the name uncultured bacterium. RNAcentral's name for it is "partial 16S ribosomal RNA". It matches the Rfam family "Bacterial small subunit ribosomal RNA", at positions 524 to 776 of the family's 1533-position model. The record is from RNAcentral.
UACGGGGGGAGCAAGCGUUGUUCGGAUUUACUGGGCGUAAAGGGCGCGUAGGCGGUCAGCACAAGUCAGUUGUGAAAUCUCCGGGCUUAACUCGGAAAGGUCAACUGAUACUGUGCGACUAGAGUGUAGAAGGGGCAACUGGAAUUCUCGGUGUAGCGGUGAAAUGCGUAGAUAUCGAGAGGAACACCGGUGGCGAAGGCGGUCUGCUGGGCAGUAGCUGACACUGAGGCGCGACAGCGUGGGGAGCAAACAGG